RNAcentral lists this ribosomal RNA (468 nucleotides) under uncultured bacterium. RNAcentral's name for it is "partial 16S ribosomal RNA". It matches the Rfam family "Bacterial small subunit ribosomal RNA", at positions 28 to 507 of the family's 1533-position model. The record is from RNAcentral.
GACGAACGCUGGCGGCGUGCUUAACACAUGCAAGUCGAACGGAAAGGCCCUGCUUUUGUGGGGUGCUCGAGUGGCGAACGGGUGAGUAACACGUGAGUAACCUGCCCUUGACUUUGGGAUAACUUCAGGAAACUGGGGCGAAUACCGGAUAGGAGCUCCUGCUGCAUGGGGGGGGUUGGAAAGUUUCGGCGGUGGGGGAUGGACUCGCGGCUUAUCAGCUUGUUGGUGGGGUAGUGGCUUACCAAGGCUUUGACGGGUAGCCGGCCUGAGAGGGUGACCGGCCACAUUGGGACUGAGGUACGGCCCAGACUCCUACGGGAGGCAGCAGUGGGGAAUAUUGCACAAUGGGCGGAAGCCUGAUGCAGCAACGCCGCGUGCGGGAUGACGGCCUUCGGGUUGUAAACCGCUUUCGCCUGUGACGAAGCGUGAGUGACGGUAAUGGGUAAAGAAGCACCGGCUAACUACGUG